CAUUAAAACACCAGUUCCCAUAUGAUCACCAAAGGUAAGCAAUGUCAAACCUGGUCAGUACCAAGAUGGGUGAUUGCUUGGGAAUAUCAGGUGCUGUAAG
Acanthosepion pharaonis is the source of this 100-nucleotide non-coding RNA. The record is from the annotation of a GenBank genome assembly. Lineage: Eukaryota; Metazoa; Mollusca; Cephalopoda; Sepiida; Sepiidae.